This 267-nucleotide long non-coding RNA is filed under the name Citrus x clementina. RNAcentral describes it as "Citrus clementina (C. clementina) long non-coding RNA (CCLE_LNC003674)". Lineage: Eukaryota; Viridiplantae; Streptophyta; Magnoliopsida; Sapindales; Rutaceae. The record is from RNAcentral.
UUGAUCAAUUUGAGCACCGUAGUUUCAUUUCAAAUGUUAGAGAAACUUCAGGUCAAAAUGAUGGUUUAGUAUCUCUUCAAAACAAGCUUAUUUUUGACCUUUCCUCUGGUAAUAAGGUGCCUACAGAAAAUGUGCCUACAGAAAAUGUGCCUACAGAAAAUGUGGUUACAGCUAAUAUAGCUGAAAUAAAAAAUGUGGUUCGCGAGAGAAAAGUGUUUGUGGUAUUAGAUGAUGUUGAUGAUCCGAGCCAACUUAAUGCACUAUGUG